RNAcentral lists this long non-coding RNA (4274 nucleotides) under Triticum aestivum (bread wheat). RNAcentral's name for it is "long non-coding RNA (TAES_LNC025436)". The record is from RNAcentral. Lineage: Eukaryota; Viridiplantae; Streptophyta; Magnoliopsida; Poales; Poaceae.
GCAAUCUCAAAAUUGCGAAUAUGCUAGAUGGGAUUAAUCUCACAAGAUGGGGUUCCGAUAGGAUGUCUUGACGGUCGCACUAGCCUCUACGAGCGAAGACAAAUAAAAGUAGCAAUAGCUAAACUUCUCUAAACAAAACCCAAGUCUAAACCCUAACCUAGACUAGCUAUUUAUUAAAGAGGUACAAACGCAAACGAGUACGUAGAUGUGUUCCAGCCGGUCUGCUGAUCGAAGGAAGUUGUGCACGAGUUGGACAGUACAAAGGCCGAAGCUGCAGGCCCUGACGUGAGGAGACUUGGCGCAGCCCACAAUACAUGGCCCAAGUCGCUGAUACUGAUCAACGGAUUCAAAUCAAAAGGCCUUUGUUUCCUGUGCACUCCACGUGACAUCGAUGAUGGAUGGGGUGUAAUGGAUGGUUCGGCGGGCAUGCAUGCAAGGAUGAUGGAGCGCAUGCAUGCAUGGAUUGCUCCAUCUGGUUUUAAGGCAUAGUAGUCUCUUGCUUCUUUUAUUCUUUUAUUCCUGAGUACAAGUAAAUCACAACAUGAGUGUAAUAUCAUAUUUCUGCGAGUUAAAUAAUAUGUCCAAAGAAAUGAAAGUACCUGGUUAAUAAUUUGUGAUGUAAUAUUUGUAGACGUUUCUAUGAUAGCUAUGUCCACAUCAGAACCUGGCCUCAACUUGGAAGUCCAAGAGUGCACUGGAAAGAUGAGGUGAUUUCGAUUGAAAUCGAUAUAAAGAUCGCCGGAAUCGGAUGCACGGUUUAGAAAUGGCAAGCGAAACAAAUAUGGCACCGGUCUGCGAUAAACAGCAAGUAGCCAUCUAGAUGCAACCAGAUAAUUAUGCUACAGCACUCAAACAUGGCAACAAAAUACAUGGCAGGGAUCCAUUCAUGAUGCUUAACAAAAGAUGAACACUAAGCUACGGCCAAUUCAUCCAUUAACAGGUUCAAACAAGCAUGGCAAAAGUGCAAUUGAUAAAUAGGUUUCAGACUUAGUGAAAUUAACACUUGUCUGGAAUUUCAGAUCAGGUAGCACACUUUGAAGUAAGAAAACCAUAUGUUACAGGAACUUAACAUGGUAAAGCAAAGCAUAGCAUGGAGCUACUCAGAGAGCUUAACAAAAGUCCCUUAUUGACCUUGAGCCAAAAGGGAUUAGAAAAUACAAUUGCAAGCAUGUAAACAUGGCAAAAACAUAAACAGAUCUCAAACUUAGUGAAAUUCCAGGACAUGACAAAAACAGAUUCAACAUGGCAUCUUUACAAGCUUGAUUAACUCACUACAAGGCAUGUCAUGGCAUGGGACAAGUUCUAGCAUGAAGUAUACAUGAAAAUGAAGCUAACCAUGUGCCAAACCACCUCAUAGCAUGUUUGAAAAAAAUCACACAAAAAUGCCCAAACAACAUCAUGAUGUAAAAUGACAUGCUUAUGAACUUGCUCAAAUGCAUAAACUAAUGCCACCGCUGGGUUGGUGGGAUUUUUCUACCCCAAAACAUAUAUAAUAUGUUGGGGUUGCUGUAGAAAAAUCACCACAAAUGCAAUAAGUCAAACACUGCCUAAAAAGGUAGCUGACAGAAAUGGCAUUUUCCUUAUUUGGAAAUGUCCAGAAAUGGACUUGCCUGAACUGGAAUAAGGUAUCUUUCCCGAAAUGGAAAUCGCUGGAAUAAAGAAAAAAAUAAAAGAAAUAAGAGGAGGGGGUGAGGAUGACAUGUGGUGCCCUGAGGAGUGUUAGUAUGGCAGGUGGGGCCUUGCUGUCAUACUCACGCAUAAUGCAAAAACAUAAACAGAUCUCAGACUUAGUAAAAUUCCAGGACAUGACAAAAACAGAUUCAACAUGGCAUCUUUACAAGCUUGAUUAACUCACUACAAGACAUGUCAUGGCAUGGGACAAGUUCUAGCAUGAAGUAUACAUGAAAAUGAAGCUAACCAUGUGCCAAACCACCUCAUAGCAUGUUUGAAAAAAAUCACACAAAAAUGCCAAAACAACAUCAUGAUGUAAAGUGACAUGCUUAUGAACUUGCUCAAAUGCAUAAACUAAUGCCACCGCUGGGUUGGUGGGAUUUUUCUACCCCAAAAACAUAUAUAAUAUGUUGGGGUUGCUGUAGAAAAAUCACCACAAAUGCAAUAAGUCAAACACUGCCUAAAAAGGUAGCUCACAGAGAUGGCAUUUUCCUUAUUUGGAAAUGUCCAGAAAUGGACUUGCCUGAACUGGAAUAAGGUAUCUUUCCCGAAAUGGAAAUCGCUAGAAUAAAGAAAAAAAUAAAAGAAAUAAGAGGAGGGGGUGAGGAUGACAUGCGGUGCCCUGAGGAGUGUUAGUAUGGCGGGUGGGGCCUUGCUGUCAUACUCACGCAUAAUGCAAAAAUAUAAACAAAUUUCAGACUUAGUGAAAUUCCAGGACAUGACAAAAACAGAUUCAACACGGCAUCUUUACAAGCUUGAUUAACUCACUACAAGGCAUGUCAUGGCAUGGGACAAGUUCUAGCAUGAAGUAUACAUGAAAAUGAAGCUAACCAUGUGCCAAACCACCUCAUAGCAUGUUUGAAAAAAAUCACACAAAAAUGUCAAAACAACAUCAUGAUGUAAAAUGACGUGCUUAUGAACUUGCUCAAAUGCAUAAACUAAUGCCACCACUGGGUUGGUGGGAUUUUUCUACCCCAAAAACAUAUAUAAUAUGUUGGGGUUGCUGUAAAAAAAUCACCACAAAUGCAAUAAGUCAAACACUGCCUCAAAAGGUAGCUGACAGAGAUGGCAUUUUCCUUAUUUGGAAAUGUCCAGAAAUGGACUUGACUAAACUGGAAUAAGGUAUCUUUCCCGAAAUGGAAAUCGCUGGAAUAAAGAAAAAAAUAAAAGAAAUAAGAGGAGGGGGUGAGGAUGACAUGUGGUGCCCUGAGGAGUGUUAGUAUGGCGGGUGGGGCCUUGCUGUCAUACUCACGCAUAAUGCAAAAAUAUAAACAAAUUUCAGACUUAGUGAAAUUCCAGGACAUGACAAAAACAGAUUCAACACGGCAUCUUUACAAGCUUGAUUAACUCACUACAAGGCAUGUCAUGGCAUGGGACAAGUUCUAGCAUGAAGUAUACAUGAAAAUGAAGCUAACCAUGUGCCAAACCACCUCAUAGCAUGUUUGAAAAAAAUCACACAAAAAUGUCAAAACAACAUCAUGAUGUAAAAUGACGUGCUUAUGAACUUGCUCAAAUGCAUAAACUAAUGCCACCACUGGGUUGGUGGGAUUUUUCUACCCCAAAAACAUAUAUAAUAUGUUGGGGUUGCUGUAAAAAAAUCACCACAAAUGCAAUAAGUCAAACACUGCCUAAAAAGGUAGCUGACAGAGAUGGCAUUUUCCUUAUUUGGAAAUGUCCAGAAAUGGACUUGACUAAACUGGAAUAAGGUAUCUUUCCCGAAAUGGAAAUCGCUGGAAUAAAGAAAAAAAUAAAAGAAAUAAGAGGAGGGGGUGAGGAUGACAUGUGGUGCCCUGAGGAGUGUUAGUAUGGCAGGUGGGGCCUUGCUGUCAUACUCACGCAUAAUGCAAAAAAAGGGGGGUCUGAACCGCACCAGGGGAGGAUCGAACCCAGGUCUCCCUGGAGUUAGAGCGGGGUCUUUGCCACUGGGCCAAGCGCUCAUAGUUGGCAUAAAGAAGACCGGACUCCUUAUGUACUAGGACCAGGUCUGGCUAGUCUCCUCUACGCGCACAGAAAAGAAAACGACGACGAUGCCGGCAAGCGAGGCGGCCGUAUCCGGCGAGGUGGUGUGCCGGCGGGGGUGCGGACACGGAGGGGGGUUUAGCGCGUGCAUGCGGAGCUGCUGCAAGAAUGCACGCGUUGGGUUCAACUCGAGCACGAGCUCAUGGCGAGCUUGGCUUGGUACCGUCGGUGCAGAGGCCGAGCGAGCGACCUCUGAAGCUGGCGAGGCGAGGCGAGGCGAGCGUGCACACGGGCAAGCGUGGCGAGGAGAACGCAGCCAGGUGGGAACCAGAGCACGGGGACGCGCGAGCGCGCUGUAUCAAGUACACACAACAAAACUGCAGACCUCGCCGGAGCACCGUGAGCACAGCAAAGACACGGAUUGAUCGAGCCUCACAGGGUCCUAUAUGCCAUGGAAAGAAAAGGGAGAGGUUGGUGCGUUACUCAGCUCACCCUAGGACACGAUGGGGUCGACGGAGACGAGCCGGAGAUGACGCAAGGGAGCGCUGAACUUGGUGGGGCUGCUGUCCGCGAAGCAGAGGGAGAAGAUGUCGUUGUGGUAGUCGAUCCAGGGCUGUAGAGGUGCGUGCGUGCAGAAGAGGGCA